This 157-nucleotide small nuclear RNA is filed under the name Dasypus novemcinctus (nine-banded armadillo). RNAcentral describes it as "U1 spliceosomal RNA (ENSDNOG00000028486.1)". It matches the Rfam family "U1 spliceosomal RNA". From Rfam's summary of the family: U1 is a small nuclear RNA (snRNA) component of the spliceosome (involved in pre-mRNA splicing). Its 5' end forms complementary base pairs with the 5' splice junction, thus defining the 5' donor site of an intron. Lineage: Eukaryota; Metazoa; Chordata; Mammalia; Cingulata; Dasypodidae. The record is from RNAcentral.
AUACUUACCUGGCAGGGGAAAAUCACGAAGGUGGUUUUCCCAGGGUGAGGCUGAUCCAAUGCACUGGGGACCCGCUGACCCCUGCAACUUCCCCACAUGGGGGAAACGCGGCUGCAUAGUUUGUGUUGGUGGUGGGCUGUAUCCAUGCUUUCCCCCA